AGUGAACGCUGGCGGUAGGCCUAACACAUGCAAGUCGAACGGCAGCACAGUAAGAGCUUGCUCUUACGGGUGGCGAGUGGCGGACGGGUGAGGAAUACAUCGGAAUCUACUUUUUCGUGGGGGAUAACGUAGGGAAACUUACGCUAAUACCGCAUCCGACCUACGGGUGAAAGCAGGGGAUCUUCGGACCUUGCGCGAUUGAAUGAGCCGAUGUCGGAUUAGCUAGUUGGCGGGGUAAGGGCCCACCAAGGCAACGAUCCGUAGCUGGUCUGAGAGGAUGAUAAGCCACACUGGAACUGAGACACGGUCCAGACUCCUGCGGGAGGGAGCAGUGGGGAAUAUUGGACAAUGGGCGCAAGCCUGAUCCAGCCAUACCGCGUGGGUGAAGAAGGCCUUCGGGUUGUAAAGCCCUUUUGUUGGGAAAGAAAAGCAGCAGGUUAAUACCCCGCUGUUCUGACGGUACCCAAAGAAUAAGCACCGGCUAACUUCGUG
This 492-nucleotide ribosomal RNA is filed under the name uncultured bacterium. Its description in RNAcentral is "partial 16S ribosomal RNA". It matches the Rfam family "Bacterial small subunit ribosomal RNA", at positions 29 to 507 of the family's 1533-position model. The record is from RNAcentral.